RNAcentral lists this ribosomal RNA (1302 nucleotides) under uncultured fungus. Its description in RNAcentral is "eukaryotic LSU rRNA". The stretch from base 636 to 1302 matches the Rfam family "Eukaryotic large subunit ribosomal RNA", at positions 1 to 649 of the family's 3401-position model. The record is from RNAcentral. Lineage: Eukaryota; Fungi.
AAGUCGUAACAAGGUUUCCGUAGGUGAACCUGCGGAAGGAUCAUUAAUGAAUCGAAAGAACGCGUGAGUUCUCGGGUUGCUGCUGGCCUCGCGAGAGGUAUUCGUGCACGCCCCUGUAUCUCGCGUCGUCCCCCUUUCUUCAUCGACCCCCCUAUACGUGCACCCCUAUGCGGACCGGAAUCUUCCCGGUCUCGCGUCUUUACACACACACGCCUUUCAAUAGAACAGAAUGAGACAACGUCGAGUUCGCGCUCGUCGGUAAACAUAAUACAACUUUCAACAACGGAUCUCUUGGCUCUCGCAUCGAUGAAGAACGCAGCGAAAUGCGAUAAGUAAUGUGAAUUGCAGAAUUCAGUGAAUCAUCGAAUCUUUGAACGCACCUUGCGCCUCUUGGUAUUCCGAGAGGCAUGCCUGUUCGAGUGUCAUAUAAUCAUCAACGCGAAAGUUUAUUCUUUCGACGCUUGGAAUAUGGAGUCGUGCGAGCGCCCUUCACCGGGCUUCGCUCCUCUCGAAAUGUAUCGGUGACCGUCUCAUUCGCGGAUCCUCCGGCGUGAUAAUUAUCUACGUCGCUGCGCAUCCGCGUCCAACAGACGUCGCCUACAACCGUCCCUUCGCGGACAGACUUAUGACGAAUUUGACCUCGGAUCAGGUAGGAUUACCCGCUGAACUUAAGCAUAUCAAUAAGCGGAGGAAAAGAAACUAACAAGGAUUCCCCUAGUAACUGCGAGUGAAGCGGGAAGAGCUCAAAUUUAAAAUCUGGCGGUCCUCGCGGUCGUCCGAGUUGUAAUCUAGAGAAGCGACAUCCGUGCCGGACCGCGUACAAGUCUCCUGGAAUGGAGCGUCAUAGAGGGUGAGAAUCCCGUCUCUGCCGCGGACAACCGGUGCAUUGCGAUGCGCUCUCGACGAGUCGAGUUGUUUGGGAAUGCAGCUCAAAACGGGUGGUAAAUUCCAUCUAAAGCUAAAUAUUGGCGAGAGACCGAUAGCGAACAAGUACCGUGAGGGAAAGAUGAAAAGAACUUUGGAAAGAGAGUUAAACAGUACGUGAAAUUGUUGAAAGGGAAACGCUUCAAGUCAGUCGCGUCCGUCGGGGAUCAGCCUUCUCUCGAGUCGGCGUACUUCCCGGCAGACGGGUCAGCAUCGAUUCAGGCCGCGGGAAAAAGUCGAGAGGAAUGUGGCACCUCCGGGUGUGUUAUAGCCUUUCGUCGCAUGCCGCGGCCGGGAUCGAGGAACUCAGCGCGCCGCAAGGCCGGGGUCUAACCCACGUUCGCGCUUAGGAUGCUGGCAUAAUGGCUUCAAUCGACC